UGUGUAGGCGGUUUUCUAAGUUUGGUGUGAAAUCUCCCGGCUCAACCGGGAGGGUGCGCCGAAAACUGGGAGACUAGAGUGCGGGAUGGGAGAGUAGAAUUCCUGGCGUAGCGGUGAAAUGCGUAGAUAUCAGGAGGAAUACCGGUGGUGUAGACGGCUCUCUGGACCGCCACUGACGCUGAGACACGAAAGCGUGGGUGAAACA
Molecule: ribosomal RNA, 205 nt
Filed under: uncultured bacterium
Lineage: Bacteria
Description: partial 16S ribosomal RNA
Rfam family: Bacterial small subunit ribosomal RNA
Source: RNAcentral